AACGAACGCUGGCGGCAUGCCUAACACAUGCAAGUCGAACGAGACCUUCGGGUCUAGUGGCGCACGGGUGCGUAACGCGUGGGAACCUGCCCUUAGGUUCGGAAUAACUCCCCGAAAGGGGUGCUAAUACCGGAUAAUGUCUGCGGACCAAAGAUUUAUCGCCUUUGGAUGGGCCCGCGUUGGAUUAGCUAGUUGGUAGGGUAAAAGCCUACCAAGGCGACGAUCCAUAGCUGGUCUGAGGGGAUGAUCAGCCACACUGGGACUGAGACACGGCCCAGACUCCUACGGGAGGCAGCAGUGGGGAAUAUUGGACACUGGGCGAAAGCCUGAUCCAGCAAUGCCGCGUGAGUGAUGAAGGCCUUAGGGUUGUAAAGCUCUUUUACCCGGGAUGAUAAUGACAGUACCGGGAGAAUAAGCUCCGGCUAACUCCGUG
This 433-nucleotide ribosomal RNA is filed under the name uncultured bacterium. Its description in RNAcentral is "partial 16S ribosomal RNA". It matches the Rfam family "Bacterial small subunit ribosomal RNA", at positions 29 to 507 of the family's 1533-position model. The record is from RNAcentral.